Molecule: transfer RNA, 74 nt
Filed under: Cynogale bennetti (Otter civet)
Lineage: Eukaryota; Metazoa; Chordata; Mammalia; Carnivora; Viverridae
Description: tRNA-Gln
Rfam family: tRNA
About the family: Transfer RNA (tRNA) molecules are approximately 80 nucleotides in length. Their secondary structure includes four short double-helical elements and three loops (D, anti-codon, and T loops).
Source: RNAcentral
UAGAAUAUGGUGUAAAUGUGGUAGCACGAAGAAUUUUGAAUUCUUAGGAUUAGGUUCAAGUCCUAUGAUUCUAG